CCUACGGGAGGCAGCAGUGAGGAAUAUUGGUCAAUGGGCGCGAGCCUGAACCAGCCAAGUCGCGUGAAGGAUGAAUGCUCUAUGGAUUGUAAACCUCUUUUAUAAGGGAAUAAAGUGUGGGACGUGUCCCUUUUUGUAUGUACCUUAUGAAUAAGGAUCGGCUAACUCCGUGCCAGCAGCCGCGGUAAUACGGAGGAUCCGAGCGUUAUCCGGAUUUAUUGGGUUUAAAGGGUGCGUAGGCGGGCUUUUAAGUCAGAUGUGAAAGUCUGUGGCUCAACCAUAGAAUUGCCGUUGAUACUGGUGGGCUUGAGUAUAUUUGAGGUAGGCGGAAUGCGUGGUGUAGCGGUGAAAUGCGUAGAUAUCACGAAGAACCCCGAUUGCGAAGGCAGCUUGCCAAGCCAUGACUGACGCUGAUGCACGAAAGCGUGGGGAUCAAACAGGAUUAGAUACCCCAGUAGUC
This 460-nucleotide ribosomal RNA is filed under the name uncultured bacterium. RNAcentral's name for it is "partial 16S ribosomal RNA". It matches the Rfam family "Bacterial small subunit ribosomal RNA", at positions 338 to 795 of the family's 1533-position model. The record is from RNAcentral.